This 387-nucleotide unclassified non-coding RNA is filed under the name soil metagenome. RNAcentral's name for it is "partial contains 5.8S ribosomal RNA, internal transcribed spacer 2, and large subunit ribosomal RNA". The stretch from base 1 to 120 matches the Rfam family "5.8S ribosomal RNA", at positions 35 to 154 of the family's 154-position model. The record is from RNAcentral.
GAUGAAGAACGCAGCGAAAUGCGAUAAGUAAUGUGAAUUGCAGAAUUCAGUGAAUCAUCGAAUCUUUGAACGCACCUUGCACCCUUUGGUAUUCCGAAGGGUAUGCUCGUUUGAGUGUCAUUGUACUCUCACACUUCUAAUUCCUUUCGGGAUUGGGAGCGGUGGACUUGGGUGUUGCUGCUUUAGUUGUGGCUCACCUCAAAUAAGUUAGUGCAACUCUUGGUUGGACAUAGUACGGCGUGAUAAGUGUCUUCGCCGGCGCCUCUGUAAGGAGGGUGGCCGAUCGGGAGCUCUGUGCUUCAAACCGUCUUCGGACGAUCUUUGACAACUUGACCUCAAAUCGAGUAGGACUACCCGCUGAACUUAAGCAUAUCAAUAAGCGGAGGA